GCUUGUCUCAAAGAUUAAGCCAUGCAUGUCUAAGUAUAAGCCUUUAUAUGGUGAGACUGCGAAUGGCUCAUUAAAUCAGAAACUGUUUAUUUGAUAGUGCCUACUACAUGGAUACCUGUAGUAAUUCUAGAGCUAAUACAUGCUAAAAAUCCCGACUUCGGAAGGGAUGUAUUUAUUAGAUUAAAAACCAAUGCCCUCUGGGCUCUCUGGUGAUUCAUGAUAACUUCUCGAAUCGCAUGGCCUUGCGCCGGCGAUGGUUCAUUCAAAUUUCUUCCCUAUCAACUUUCGAUGUUUGGGUAGUGGCCAAACAUGGUUGCAACGGGUAACGGAGGGUUAGGGCUCGACCCCGGAGAAGGAGCCUGAGAAACGGCUACUACAUCCAAGGAAGGCAGCAGG
RNAcentral lists this ribosomal RNA (396 nucleotides) under Ophiocordyceps liangshanensis. RNAcentral describes it as "Papiliomyces liangshanensis partial small subunit ribosomal RNA". It matches the Rfam family "Eukaryotic small subunit ribosomal RNA", at positions 30 to 432 of the family's 1831-position model. Lineage: Eukaryota; Fungi; Ascomycota; Sordariomycetes; Hypocreales; Ophiocordycipitaceae. The record is from RNAcentral.